This 253-nucleotide ribosomal RNA is filed under the name uncultured bacterium. RNAcentral's name for it is "partial 16S ribosomal RNA". It matches the Rfam family "Bacterial small subunit ribosomal RNA", at positions 524 to 776 of the family's 1533-position model. The record is from RNAcentral.
CACGUAGGGCGCAAGCGUUGUCCGGAAUUAUUGGGCGUAAAGAGCUCGUAGGCGGUCUGUUGCGUCCGCUGUGAAAACUCGGGGCUUAACCCCGAGCCUGCAGUGGAUACGGGCAGACUAGAGGUAGGUAGGGGAGAAUGGAAUUCCCGGUGUAGCGGUGAAAUGCGCAGAUAUCGGGAGGAACACCAGUGGCGAAAGCGGCCACCUGGACUGUACCUGACGCUGAAACGCGAAAGCUAGGGGAGCGAACGGG